Molecule: ribosomal RNA, 594 nt
Filed under: Elphidium sp. S3
Lineage: Eukaryota; Foraminifera; Rotaliida; Elphidiidae
Description: SSU rRNA
Rfam family: Eukaryotic small subunit ribosomal RNA
Source: RNAcentral
ACUCACGCGGGAAUCUUACCGGGUCCGGACACACUGAGGAUUGACAGGUUCCGAGAGUUUUUGCUUCGGCAAUGCUCUCUUAAAUAUGAUAGUCCUUUCAUGAUUAUGUGAUAGGUGGUGCAUGGCCGUUCUUAGUUCGUGGAGUGAUCUGUCUGCUUAAUUGCGUUUCACUAAAGGCGUCAUAUCUGUUUUGUUGCGUGUUUGACCCCUCUUCGGAGCGCGUGUCUUCACGCACAAUUACUUUGGCGUCUGAAAGCAACGAACGUGACCGUAACCUCUUGUUGCCUUCUCUUCUCCUCGGAGAAUGCUGUUUGUUUUUGCAGGCAGUAUAUGGAGGCUUUUUUACUCAACAACUAGAGGGACCGCUGUUUCUUUCUUUAAACCAGAGGAAGGAUACGGCAAUAACAGGUCUGUGAUGCCCUUAGAUGUUCCGGGCUGCACACGUGAUACAUUGAUUACUUCAGUGAGUAUCUACGUUUUACUGCGUGGCAUUGCAAUGCAUAUUUCUUCGGAAGUGUGUUUUUGUUUGCCGCCUCAACCUGCUUCGAAAGCAUGCGGGUAACCAAUUAGAAGUAGUGAUUUCCUUUUUUAUAA